GCAAGACUGACCCAGCCAUGCCGCGUGCAGGAAGACGGCCCUCUGGGUUGUAAACUGCUUUUAUCUGGGAAGAAAAAGUCCAUGCGUGGAAAAUUGCCGGUACCAGAUGAAUAAGCACCGGCUAACUCCGUGCCAGCAGCCGCGGUAAUACGGAGGGUGCAAGCGUUGUCCGGAUUUAUUGGGUUUAAAGGGUGCGUAGGCGGCUGAAUAAGUCAGCGGUGAAAGACUUCGGCUUAACCGGAGCAGUGCCGUUGAUACUGUUUAGCUUGAGUGUUGGAGGGGUACAUGGAAUUGAUGGUGUAGCGGUGAAAUGCAUAGAUACCAUCAGGAACACCGAUAGCGAAGGCAUUGUACUGGCCAACAACUGACGCUGAGGCACGAAAGUGUGGGGAUCGAACAGGAUUAGAUACCCUGGUAGUCCACACCGUAAACGAUGAUUACUCGCUGUUAUGSUGUAURCUGUAGCGGCCAAGCGAAAGCGUUAAGUAAUCCACCUGGGGAGUACGCCGGCAACGGUGAAACUCAAAUGAA
RNAcentral lists this ribosomal RNA (531 nucleotides) under uncultured Bacteroidota bacterium. RNAcentral describes it as "bacterial SSU rRNA". It matches the Rfam family "Bacterial small subunit ribosomal RNA", at positions 377 to 909 of the family's 1533-position model. Lineage: Bacteria; Pseudomonadati; Bacteroidota. The record is from RNAcentral.